This 69-nucleotide transfer RNA is filed under the name Bambusicaliscelis flavus. RNAcentral describes it as "tRNA-Ala". The record is from RNAcentral. Lineage: Eukaryota; Metazoa; Arthropoda; Insecta; Hemiptera; Caliscelidae.
AGGAGAAUAGUUAAAUAAAUAACACUUUUUUUGCAAAAAAAAAUUAUUGAAACUUUUCAAUUUCUCUUA